CCAAGGGGAGUGGCACGUACUCUGCGAGGGGCCUGGGUGUCCAGGAGAGGCUGGGGCUUAGCGAGAGGCUCUGGGGCUCCAGGAGGCAGUGGAGGCUCUGCAGGGGGGGCGGGGCGAGAGCUCUGCUGGGGAGUCUGGGGGCUCUCUGCCAUGAGAGGAGAGGGCUCCCACAAAGAGAUGGGGGCUCAGAGAAGAGGUAUGGGCUCUGAGAGAGGGGGAUUUGUGAGGAGAUUGGGGGUCUUGAGGGAACAAAGGCUCGAAGAGGGAACAGGGGCUCAGGGACGGGAUCAAAGACUAAAUGGGGGGCAGAGGCUUUGGGAAGCAGACAGGGCUGUGUAAGAGCUGGGGGCUCAGAGAGAGAUGUUUGCUUGUGAAGGGAAGGAGGCUGAGUGAGGGGCUGUUUUCAGAACUAAGGGGCCCUACUGUGCUCUGGCUCAUCCCAGCCACAGGCUUGUCUGCCUCCCCGCAAGUUCCCUUCGCCUUGGUCCUCCUCUCUUCCACUCCCCUACCGUUCUUCAAGGCAAGUCCUGAGUCCUUUUCCACCCACGGCUCCAUCGGUGCCCCAGUCUACACUCAUGCCCUCUAAGUCACCCCUAUAGAUUUCGUUUACCCCUUUAGCCCAAACACAUGAUCAGAAGGUACUUCAGAUACCUGUAAUGAUCACUAAGGUAGUCCUCCCUGCAAGCUAACCACAAUCCCUCCAGCUGCAAGUACAGCCAAUGUCCUCUAUUCUAUCCUGGGAAUAGAACACACCUUCUUUCGGGGCACCCCCUAUAACUUUAGCGACAGAUGGAGGCCUCUCAAAUUUCUUUUUUUCAGGUACAAGAAUUCUGGUCCCUUUCAUUGGCUCUUCUAAUCACUAUCUUCAUUAUCAAGCUAGCAAAAUAUUUUACCAGAGCCUGGCACAUUGUAGGCUCACAAGAAAUGUAGCGCAGAUGAAUGAAUAAGUUGGAGGAUUAUAGAUGGAUGAGUGUGGACAAAUGGGCAGCAGAAGAUGGAAAGAAUGGCAGUGGAGCUGCUUGGAAGCUAGAAGAAUUCCUAGGAGCCUCUUGGCCUCGGACCCUGGCUGCAUCUCCCAGGAACUCCCUGUUGUCCCUGAAUACAGGAUUUCAGCUCCUGGCUCCUGUGGGCUCUGCUGUGAGGCCGCAGUCCUAUGUCUGUGGUCCCCUGAAUCUGUCCAGCCCAUCACUGCCCAUCAUCUUGUCUGCCCACUGACCUGGAUCCAUCUGCCUCAGCUGCUCAUCCAUCAGCCUGCCCGGGCCCCUCCACCUUGUGUCCCCCUGCCUGCCCGGUACCUGUCACUCUGCCCAUCACGCACACACACAGAGUCCACCUCCCCACCCCUGGCACCUUUCUCUGCAAGCACCACAGUGACAACAGAGAUGGGGGGGCUAUUUCGCUCCUAGAGAAGCCCAGUGUUAACAUCGGAACCUGCUUUCUGGGGACGAAAACAGUUCUUGGCCAUCCGGCAUCCUCUUCCUUCCCCUGGGGACCCCCAGCCCCUCCUUUCUGGGCCCCAGGGCUUCUGCUUGAGGAAUCUGGUCAGGGCCACGUGCCUCCUGCCAAAAAUGUCCGAGUGGUCCCCAAGGAAAUCAUCGGACAAGAGCAUGAAGGCGUGUGUA
This 1622-nucleotide long non-coding RNA is filed under the name Capra hircus (goat). RNAcentral describes it as "lncRNA (ENSCHIG00010026086.1)". Lineage: Eukaryota; Metazoa; Chordata; Mammalia; Artiodactyla; Bovidae. The record is from RNAcentral.